AUUUGCAAGUGAAUGAACUAAAAUUUAGAUUAACAAGAAGUUUUUAAAGUCGAUACUUCUUUGAAAUCAAUGUCAACUUAAAACACCUAAUACAAUAUAUUCGUUACAUUAGUAGCUUUAGUUACUUUAACCCGUAAACUGUUCGAACUUUUUCUGUAUCGGAGGUCCAUAUAUUAUGGACAACUCCUGGCUUCUAACCUUUAUUGUCGGCAUUAUUGUGGGUUACUUGAUAGGCAAAAACCAAUAAAAAGAAGCCUAACUCGGCUUUGCCUUUCAAGUCAUUUAACCGAAAUGGAGGUAGAUCAUCUGGUCACAUUUGUAGUUGGAUGUUUUCUGGGAUACGUGUUUGCCAGAAAUGCCUAGAAGAAGAUGAAUCAAUAAAGAGUGAAAGGAUAUGAAUUCAUUAAAAUACACCUUGAACUCAUUGUACUAGUAUCCCAAUUCCUGCCAACUAGAACCUUAAAUUUCAAAAUUGUGGAGACUACUUAUCUUCCGGGCUCAAGAGACGCAAAUCCUUUCAUAUCUUUAAAUUUGAAGAAGCAAAAUGACUCACGUGAUCUCUUUUGUCUUGGGCGUGAUUAUUGGAAUGAUGACCUGCCGAAGGUGCUAACUGCUUAAUAUGUUAUCUAAAUUAAAUAUUAAAAUGACUAAAAAAUCAUAAAAAUAUAAAAUAAAAAAACAAAAAGCUAAACAUUUA
Molecule: long non-coding RNA, 697 nt
Organism: Drosophila ficusphila
Lineage: Eukaryota; Metazoa; Arthropoda; Insecta; Diptera; Drosophilidae
Exons: 2
Source: RefSeq, a predicted model, not a curated record